Molecule: long non-coding RNA, 231 nt
Filed under: Elaeis guineensis (African oil palm)
Lineage: Eukaryota; Viridiplantae; Streptophyta; Magnoliopsida; Arecales; Arecaceae
Description: long non-coding RNA (EGUI_LNC019414)
Source: RNAcentral
GAUGGAUAAUUUGGUUGCUUCCUUCAAUGGCAAAGCAGAAGUGCAACUUGGUGUUUUAGAUUUGUUUUCUUAAUUUUUAAGUAAAAAGGAGUUUUAGUUUAAGGUUUCAAUGCAAUGCCACUGAUAUGAUUCCUCGCAGCAGUUAUUAUAUAUUUUUUAAAAUUAUAGAUGAUCGGUAAUACAAAAGUACAUAUAUUAGAGUAUAUUCUAUAGAAUUUUGUUCGGUACCCU